CCUCGAACAGGUGUUCCCCGAGCACGUUCCUCCAGCGGCCGUACAGGAAACUGUGCAGGAUGUCCGAUGUGAUGAUGUCGGACAGGGCCAGAGUCUGCUGCUUAAAUCCAGCCUUCAGAACCAAAGCAUCUGCAGGGUUGAUGGACUGAGACAAAAUGGGCAGUUUCCCCCCUUUCCAACUGGGAGGACAUCUUUAUUCCUUCCCCGGCUUGCGGGUUUCCUAUUCAGCUCUCUUUAAAAUAAUGCCGGCUGAAUGAAAAGUGCUGCAAAUCAAUCUUUCAUGGUGUUUUGAGGGCAAUUUGACAUCCAUGCACUCUUCUUUUCUUUGAGAUAAGUACAAGGGGAUGGCCCGAAAAAAAUCUGGACACGGAUGGGGUCUGGCGAGUGGGGAGAGCCACUAUAAGCCGCGAGCGAGAACUUCCACAGAGAGAUGCGAGGAGAGCGCUGACGCCGAGGAGAAUAUAGGACAAGCGUCGAGCAAAGGAGCUGCAAGAGGGUGGGAGAGCUGGCAAACUCACGCUACACUCCUCAAAACAGUCUCUCCAUUCUCCAACUGUUUGCCAUUUCAAGGUCCUUUCGCAUUUAUGCUGAAAGGACUCCAGCGUGGCUGAGAAUUAAUGGAUGGGCCAACAAAUAAAAAUCUCUGAAUACCAACUGUCACUUUUUAAUUUUUGCUGUUGCUCUUUGAGUGCCAAGUACAGAAUGUGUAAUAUGUUUCUAUGAGAGGAUUUAAAUAAAUUUCAAACAUUGCUAAGUCAAAAAUACCAGGGGUUUAUGAGUACACCAGUGGAGGGCUUUUUAACACCAGUCAGUCGUGCCUUUCAUGCUUUACUCAUAUUUUUUGUGUGCAAAGCAAUUGAGGCAGGACACAAGAUUGAGGCUAAAGUGCCACGGCCAAUGCGGAUUCUAUGCAGAAUUUGAAUGGAUUUAAUAAAUAAGUGGAUUAUUUAACAUAAUUUAAACUUUGCCUGUCAGAAUCAACAAAUACUUGCACCCCUUGUUGAGAAGUUGUAUAUUGUCAUGUUUAAUGAGUCAUACUGUAUGCAGCAAAAAAAAAAGUGUUAUUCAGAGACAUCUCUGAGCAGUUGAAUAUGCUGCUUUCCACCUGUGAAUACGAACCGAUCCAUAUCAAUGUCUUACAGGUUUAAUUAGCCAGAGAAUGCUGGCAUUCAAGCCCUCCAGGUGAGCCAUUACUCAAGCUAACGUGGCAGCCCUUUACUUUUCAAAUGCACUGCUUCUACAAUUAAGGCUCUUGACAUUUAUCUCGACAUAUACGAAUGACUUGGAAAACAAAAGGAAAUCUGAAAUUUGAAAAUUAUUGAGGGGGACGAGCUCAUCACAACCACCAAAAGAAAAUCCAUGUCUCUCUUUAAAUCUAUGCAUGCAUUAAACAGCCAAUUAUAGACUUUUCAGCUAAAUUAAAAAAAUCAAACAAAUAUGAG
This is a long non-coding RNA of Myxocyprinus asiaticus (Chinese sucker), 1442 nucleotides long. RefSeq lists it as uncharacterized. The record is from RefSeq and is a predicted model, not a curated record. The transcript has 3 exons. NCBI's taxonomy places the organism in Eukaryota, Metazoa, Chordata, Actinopteri, Cypriniformes, Catostomidae.